Biomphalaria pfeifferi is the source of this 388-nucleotide non-coding RNA. The record is from the annotation of a GenBank genome assembly. NCBI's taxonomy places the organism in Eukaryota, Metazoa, Mollusca, Gastropoda, Planorbidae.
CUUUAAUAAGCAAUAUUACAUGGGUUGUCUCUUAGCAAUCAAUACACAUUCGGAGAAACAAACUUUCCCCAUUAUACUGCUCAAUUUCAAUUUUGUUUCCUUGUAAUAAUAAUAAUAUUAAAUGUUUUUUUCCAUUGUUGUUAUAUCAUUUAUGUUUUGGCGAAUCUUUCCAUUGAAUGCUUUCUUGGGUAUCUCUUUUUUUCCUCUUAAUGUAAUGUGACAUAAAAUAUGCCCAAGGACUCUAAUUCUUCCAUUCGUUGUGUGAAAUAGACAUUUAGAGAAACAAGAAGCCUCGUUUUGAACAUCGUGGUGUAGACGUGCACGGAUAUAUCCAUUGAACACAAAUAUAAACUUUGGGAGAUGGCAAAAAAAAAAAAAAGGAAAAGAA